GUGAGAUCAAGCCUUGGAGGAGCGAGCGCUUCGUUUACACCGAAGAUGUCGGCGGUUCGAGCCCGUCAUCGCCCACCA
This 78-nucleotide transfer RNA is filed under the name Mesorhizobium sp. B2-4-6. Its description in RNAcentral is "tRNA-Val". Lineage: Bacteria; Pseudomonadati; Pseudomonadota; Alphaproteobacteria; Hyphomicrobiales; Phyllobacteriaceae. The record is from RNAcentral.